Molecule: long non-coding RNA, 2236 nt
Organism: Temnothorax curvispinosus
Lineage: Eukaryota; Metazoa; Arthropoda; Insecta; Hymenoptera; Formicidae
Exons: 2
Source: RefSeq, a predicted model, not a curated record
UGCAAAACGCGUCGGCGCUUUGUUGCGGCCGCGACCGCAUACAUGUACGAUUUAUCGAUCCGAAACCGCGUACACGGUUUCGUAGCGCGCGCGUAGACCCGUAUACAUUUUCCGAACACGGAGAUACACAAACAAAGAUACAAGCGCGCGAACACAGGCGUCCUCGUGUAUGCACGUGCACGCGUCAACCUCGCGACCGCCACGGUCGCCGACAGUCACGGCCGCCGGCCGCGCGCGGCGGGGUGACUCCCGUGACUCGCGUUUUCGCAGUUCUCUAUUUUCUCGCCGUUAGUUAUUUUUGAAACGCGACCGUACGGGGCGUACAGCAGCGGCCAGCGGCCAGCGGCCGUCAUCGGCAGACAUUAGCGUUUUGUCUUUACUCGUCUUUACACACAAGAGAGAGCACCUCUCGCCUCAGGAAAAAUAUAUUUUACUCGGAAAUUUAUUAUACAUAUUAUACUUUUACCACACAGACUGAGAGGGAGAGAAAUACGUCGGAAGCGUUUCGGAGUCGAUUUUUCCUCGGCCGGCGUUUAUAGAGAAGUUUAGAUCCUGAACGAAGUUUACAAGUAAAUGACAAAACUUAAUGUCUAUGUUAUUAACUCCGACAGGGAGAACGUUUGUUUGAGCCACCUACUUGCUAAGUCCACUCAAUGUUGCGACGUGAGCAAGUCUUGACGAAUGAUGGAUGACAUCCUACGACGCAUGAGAUUUUCGCUGAGAAGAGCGUGGCUCCGAGUCGCAUGCCAGAAAUUUGUCUCGGGCGUAUGAUAUUAUACAUAUUUCACCGGGAUGGAGUAAAUCGGGCGCGCGCCAGUUCUCGUCGAUUAACUUUCGUGGAUCGUCGGGCUGGCGGGGAUCGAGAGCAUCGCCGUCGAUGGAACGACGAGGAUUGAGGAUUAUCGACACGUGGAGUCCGACUCGGAGGAUGAGAUAAUAGGAGAACUACCUACUGUUUAAUUCAGCGGCGUGCGGCGUGCGACGUGGCGCACCUCUUCGCCCACACUUGGCCGUGCUUCGCCGUCGAUCGUCGAUCGUCUGUCACACAGGCGUCACAGCCACAGCGCGACACAGAGUCGUCAGUCGUCCGCACUCGCGUCCUUACAACACGUCAGCAUAUGUCGGCGGCAGCGCAAGUGCGAACGCAAUCGAACACGCGAAUAAUUUUUACGUAACGAUACCAGCGGCGACGGGUGAUGAUACUGAUGAUCCGCGUCCGACCGCACGACUUCGACGUCCCGUCGGGAUUUUAUUUCAGUACAUUAUAUAUUAUGGAUUUACAUAAUGGAUAAUGUAGACGUUCAGGGAUAGGUAUUAAAGGAAUAUCGUGAAUACCUCGUGGAGAGCGAUCGUAUCUUUGUCUCUCGUUAGAAGUGGUAUCUCUCUUCGUUUCGAUGCCGACCUACCUCAAUGAACGACCGCCACGAUCUUUAAUUCCAUGUUAAAACUUCUGCGAGCUGCGAGCAUCACCCUCACAUUGGGACGCGUAUCUCCUUGUUAUAAUUAUGUGUAUAGAUAUAGAUGUGUAUAACGGAAUCUUCCUCGCGACUUAACGUUCCUCUUUGUCAGAGGAUGCGGCGCACACCAGGACCACCAACGUCGAGCUCGCGUCCUGUCGCGUUUCGCGCGCCGUGUCCUUUCGUUGGGGCCGUUGGGGGUCGGGGGAUCGAUUCUCGGCGGAGCGGGAGGCGGCGCCGCACGGAACGCGGUGAUCGGUUCCGACGCGCCUUUCCGAAUGAAAAAGAUCCGCGAUACGUUUGUUAUCGGAAGCGCGGGGUUUAUCUCGCGCGAUCCCUAUCCCCUCGCCGCGAUAGCGCGCCGCGGGCAUGGCGGCCGUACCAGUCGCUCCCGGCGGCAGCCCGUGAAAAACGAACGACCCGGUAACAUUUUCGCAGUACGAGGGAAACAACACUGCCGUCGACCGUCGACACGCCGCCUGCGCCGCGUAUCGAUUUGCGUCGCGACGCCCGACGCACGGCCCGACACGAGUCGUCGGUAGCGCCUUCUCCCCGAUCAGAGUUCCCCCUGCGAAUCAUUAGCUCGAUAUACGUACUAGCGAGAUGGUCCCUAAACUCGUAGAGGCCUCCUGAAUGACUCUGAGCAAAGUACUCUGUAAAUAUAUAUAAUAUUUCAUACACCGUUGAAAAUGUCAAAAACCAAUACUCUCGAAAUUUUUAUUUGAUGAGGAAAAAUGUUUUAUAUAUGUCUGUUGAGAACAAGUAAAUGAUGUUUUGUA